This 484-nucleotide ribosomal RNA is filed under the name uncultured bacterium. Its description in RNAcentral is "partial 16S ribosomal RNA". It matches the Rfam family "Bacterial small subunit ribosomal RNA", at positions 30 to 507 of the family's 1533-position model. The record is from RNAcentral.
AUUGAACGCUGGCGGCAGGCCUAACACAUGCAAGUCGAGCGGAUGAGUGGAGCUUGCUCCAUGAUUCAGCGGCGGGCGGGUGAGUAAUGCCUAGGAAUCUGCCUGGUAGUGGGGGACAACGUUUCGAAAGGAACGCUAAUACCGCAUACGUCCUACGGGAGAAAGUGGGGGAUCUUCGGACCUCACGCUAUCAGAUGAGCCUAGGUCGGAUUAGCUAGUUGGUGAGGUAAAGGCUCACCAAGGCGACGAUCCGUAACUGGUCUGAGAGGAUGAUCAGUCACACUGGAACUGAGACACGGUCCAGACUCCUACGGGAGGCAGCAGUGGGGAAUAUUGGACAAUGGGCGAAAGCCUGAUCCAGCCAUGCCGCGUGUGUGAAGAAGGUCUUCGGAUUGUAAAGCACUUUAAGUUGGGAGGAAGGGCAGUAAGUUAAUACCUUGCUGUUUUGACGUUACCAACAGAAUAAGCACCGGCUAACUUCGUG